CAAUAGCGUAUAUUAAAGUUGUUGCAGUUAAAAAGCUCGUAGUCGGAUUUCUGGAUUGGGAGGGCGGUCCGUUUGGCCUAGCCGGAUGUGAACCAUGUCUUUUCAUCCAUCUUCGUGAAGAGCUGUUCUGACCGUUAUUGGUUUGGAGCAUGCAAUUCGCGUCUUUUACUGUGAACAAAUUAGAGUGUUCAAAGCAGGCUUACGCCACUGAAUACAUUAGCAUGGAAUAACAACAUAGGACUUUGGUGAUUCUAUUGUUGGUUCAGCGCCAGGGUAAUGAUUAAUAGGGAUAGUUGGGGGUAUUCGUAUUCAAUUGUCAGAGGUGAAAUUCUUGGAUUUAUGGAAGACGAACAACUGCGAAAGCAUUUACCAAGGAUGUUUUCUUUG
Molecule: ribosomal RNA, 387 nt
Filed under: uncultured eukaryote
Lineage: Eukaryota
Description: partial 18S ribosomal RNA
Rfam family: Eukaryotic small subunit ribosomal RNA
Source: RNAcentral